Pelobates cultripes (western spadefoot toad) is the source of this 308-nucleotide non-coding RNA. NCBI's taxonomy places the organism in Eukaryota, Metazoa, Chordata, Amphibia, Anura, Pelobatidae. The record is from the annotation of a GenBank genome assembly.
GCCUGCUAGCAGCUAUUCGUAUGGUUCCUGUUCGUUUAUUUGAAGUGCUACCUUAUUCCCUUGGAUGCCGUUCGGGAGUUUGGAGCAUUCACUUACUGGCGGUUCGUGAGUUUUGGUGAUUCUACAGUAGCUGUGCCUGUCUCUGAAAAGGGGGAUUUUCGUCUAAGCGUUUUUUUCCCCUUUUGUGCAAAACGGUCCGUUACAAAUUAGUUCUCACAUCUGCCUCUCAGCAUUAUAUUAGCAUUGCAAAGAUUGUUAAAAAAUAAAAUAAUAAUAAUAUGCCUUGAUUUUGGAAGCAUGUAAGAAUA